Molecule: unclassified non-coding RNA, 285 nt
Filed under: fungal sp.
Lineage: Eukaryota; Fungi
Description: partial internal transcribed spacer region
Rfam family: Eukaryotic small subunit ribosomal RNA (bases 1-46)
Source: RNAcentral
AAGUCGUAACAAGGUAACCGUAGGUGAACCUGCGGUUGGAUCAUUAAAAAAUUAUUUUAAUGAAAGAUGAAUAGAUGUUUGAUGUGUUUGAAAGUUUCUUUCUUUCUUCCAUCUUCUCUAUUUUCUUUUCAACACCAUUUGUGAACUGGUUGAUCUUCUCUUUGGUGUGGCUUUAUUUAGUUAAACCACACCAAGAUUUAGACUCAAUUACCUUUUUUGGACAAUACCUUUUUUUAAUUACCAAUUAAAAAAAAACAACUUUUGACAACGGAUCUCUUGGCUCUU